Non-coding RNA from Drosophila melanogaster (fruit fly), 604 nucleotides. The record is from Ensembl. Lineage: Eukaryota; Metazoa; Arthropoda; Insecta; Diptera; Drosophilidae.
ACAGAAACAAGAGAAACACGGACGCGUCAGGAACAGUUACAGACGCGAUUUAAAAUUUUAAUUAAUUCGAGCGCCGAGCGCAGGAAAACUUUUCCCCAGAAUUUCGAAAAUGAGCCAUACCAGCGCGGUGCCUUCCUCUGUGAAAGGGUUAAGAACUGUAAUCCGAAACCGCAACGCAAAAACUUUUGUGGCAACACACUUCCAUACCUCUGUUUAUAUAUAUAUAUAUAUAUAUGUAUAUGUAUAAAGGACGGCCAGGAGACGAACUGAAAAGAGCAGGGUUUCUGAGACAGCAGUGACACAAAGUUGAGUCUGGGUCUCAGUUUGUGGUGCAAGUUUUCGGCUUGUGGCCAUAAAUUAUCACAGACAAAGUCAUUCGUUCCAUUUCGAGUGAAGCGCGCAUAGUCAGAGGCGGAGACCCACGAUUGGGGAGGGGUAAACGGAUGGGGACCGGGACUCGGGAAUUGGGCAGGCUUAGGCGCAGUGCACCUGGAAAAACUGGGAGACCGAAAGUGAUUUCUGUCACUUUCUAUACACCAUCUAUACAUUAAUAAUGAUAAACCUUUAUAAUUAAUAGUAAAGCCGCUUAUGAAAGCGAUUUAAC